Molecule: ribosomal RNA, 617 nt
Filed under: uncultured Synechococcus sp.
Lineage: Bacteria; Bacillati; Cyanobacteriota; Cyanophyceae; Synechococcales; Synechococcaceae
Description: bacterial SSU rRNA
Rfam family: Bacterial small subunit ribosomal RNA
Source: RNAcentral
GAAUCUGCCCUAGGAGAAGAAUAACUGCUGGAAACGGUUGCUAGAUCUUCAUAUGUCGAGAGAUGAAAUAGCUUAAGCUGCCUAAGGAUGAGCUCACGCCUGAUUAGCUUGUUGGUGAGGUAAUGGCUCACCAAGGCCACGAUCAGUAGCUGGUUUGAGAGAACGACCAGCCACACUGGGACUGAGACACGGCCCAGACUCCUCCGGGAGGCAGCAGUGAGGAAUUUUCCGCAAUGGGCGAAAGCCUGACGGAGCAAUACCGCGUGAGGGAUGAAGGAUUUUGGUCUGUAAACCUCUUUUCUCAAGAAAGAAGUUCUGACGGUACUUGAGGAAUAAGCAUCGGCUAACUCCGUGCCAGCAGCCGCGGUAAUACGGGGGAUGCAAGCGUUAUCCGGAAUGAUUGGGCGUAAAGCGCCUGUAGGUUGUUUAUUAAGUCCGUUGUUAAAGCCUAGGGCUCAACCCUAGAAAAGCAAUGGAAACUAGUAGACUAGAGUAUGGCAGGGGUAGAGGGAAUUUCUAGUGUAGCGGUGAAAUGCGUAGAUAUUAGAAAGAACACCGGUGGCGAAAGCGCUCUACUGGACCAUUACUGACACUCAGAGGCGAAAGCUAGGGUGGCA